Parus major (Great Tit) is the source of this 862-nucleotide long non-coding RNA. RefSeq lists it as uncharacterized. The record is from RefSeq and is a predicted model, not a curated record. The transcript is spliced from 2 exons. NCBI's taxonomy places the organism in Eukaryota, Metazoa, Chordata, Aves, Passeriformes, Paridae.
GGUGCUGCGGCGACUGCGCCUGAGCGAGGAGCAGAUCUAUGGCGGCGACUGGCGGCCACCAAACCAGUGAGGGGACACCUGGGACAGACCUGGAGACCUCAAACACACACGUAUUUUGCAAAGCAAACACAGACACCAGCAGAGAGCUCAGCUCAUUGCUGCCAGGCUGCAUUUUGGGUCACCUUCCAAGGAAGCUUCAGCCACCCUGCCAUGCCCUGAAGUCCAGAAGCUGAAAACUGAUCUAAUAACUUCCUAAAAAUGCUGUGCCAGAUGAGAAAGAACUAACAAAUGACCUAGUGUUUAUUUUAUCCUGGGUGCUGGAGAAGUAUACACACCAUAGGUACACAGGCCUGGCUUGGAAGCUGUUAGCCAGCCACCAGAUGGGUUUUAAAGGAGCUUAAAAAACCAUUUAUCUAGCAAACAAUUUCAAAACCUCAACUUAUUUCUUACAGAAAGAGGCCUAUCAGCACAGGAAACUUGAUUCAGGCCUUUGCAUGGCUCUAGUAGGCAUCCAAGUGACACCAUGAGAUCAAAGAUGUGGCUCAGGAAGGAAAGAAACUUAUGUCUCCUUUUGCAUGUUAGUCAUGCUUGGAUUACCAACAGAUUUUAUUCUGUAAUGGACAGGAAGUUGAAUUUGGGUAUAAAAAAAAUAUUCAAAAGGAGCUGGGUGUGCCCUCCCUAUGGUCCUGAUGAAGAAAGAGACUUCAUCACAUGCUUAAUUAUAAGCACUUGAGCAGUUCUACUAACUUCACUGAAUCUGGAUGCAGAUGUUAAUCAUUUCUGAAGCUCAUAUUCAAUGCUCCUCUGAUUAUUAAACUACAAAAUAUGUGAAUUUCAAUAAAUCAGAGCACUUCCAUCAGAA